RNAcentral lists this ribosomal RNA (496 nucleotides) under uncultured bacterium. RNAcentral's name for it is "partial 16S ribosomal RNA". It matches the Rfam family "Bacterial small subunit ribosomal RNA", at positions 28 to 507 of the family's 1533-position model. The record is from RNAcentral.
GACGAACGCUGGCGGCGUGCCUAAUACAUGCAAGUAGAACGCUCAAGAGAGGAGCUUGCUCUUCUUGGAUUAGUUGCGAACGGGUGAGUAACGCGUAGGUAACCUGCCUUUUAGCGGGGGAUAACUAUUGGAAACGAUAGCUAAUACCGCAUAACAAUGGAUGACACAUGUCAUUUAUUUGAAAGGGGCACUUGCUCCACUACAAGAUGGACCUGCGUUGUAUUAGCUAGUGGGUAAGGUAAUGGCUCACCAAGGCAACGAUACGUAGCCGACCGGAGAGGGGGACGGGCAAAAUGGGAACGAGAAACGGCCCAGAAUUCUAAGGGAGGGAGGAGGAGGGGAAUGUCGGGAAUGGGGGGAAAGCCGAACGAGGAAAGGCGGGGGAGGGAAGGGGGGUUUCGGAUUGGAAAGACCUGUUGAAAGGGAAGAAAGGGUGGGAGAGGGGAAAGUGCACGCUGUGACGGUAGCUAACCAGAAAGGGACGGCUAACUACGUG